This 512-nucleotide ribosomal RNA is filed under the name uncultured bacterium. RNAcentral describes it as "partial 16S ribosomal RNA". It matches the Rfam family "Bacterial small subunit ribosomal RNA", at positions 28 to 507 of the family's 1533-position model. The record is from RNAcentral.
GACGAACGCUGGCGGCGUGCCUAAUACAUGCGAGUCGAGCGAACGGACCUAACAGAUUUUCCUCGGUAAUGACGUUAGGAAAGCAAGCGGCGGAUGGGUGAGCAUCACGUGGGGAACCUGCCCCAUAGUCUGGGCUACCACUUGGAAACAGGUGCUAAUACCGGAUAAGAAAUCAGAUCGCAUGAUCAGCUUUUAAAAGGCGGCGUAAGCUGUCGCUAUGGGUUGGCCACGCGGUUCAUUAGCCAGUUGGUAAGGUAAAGGCUUACCAAGGCGAUGAUGCGUAGCCGAGGUGAGAGAGUGAUCGGCCACAUUGGGACUGAGACACGGCCCAGACUCCUACGGGAGGCAGCAGUAGGGAAUCUUCCACAAUGGGCGCAAGUCUGAUGGAGCAACGCCGCGUGAGUGAAGAAGGUUUUCGGAUCGUAAAACUCUGUUGUUGGUGAAGAACGAUUGAGGUAGUAACUAGGCUUGUUUUGACGGUAAUCAAACAGAAAGUCACGGCUAACUACGUG